Molecule: ribosomal RNA, 329 nt
Filed under: uncultured eukaryote
Lineage: Eukaryota
Description: partial 18S ribosomal RNA
Rfam family: Eukaryotic small subunit ribosomal RNA
Source: RNAcentral
CCCUUAGAUGUUCUGGGCCGCACGCGCGCUACACUGACGGAGGCAGCGAGCGUGUCCUUCGCCGGCAGGUGCGGGCAAUCUUGCGAGUCUCCGUCGUGCUGGGGAUAGAUGGUUGCAAUUGUCGAUCUUGAACGAGGAAUUCCUAGCAAGCGCGAGUCAUCAGCUCGCGCUGAUUACGUCCCUGCCCUUUGUACACACCGCCCGUCGCUACUACAGAGUGCCCGUGUCCAAGAAACGGUCGGACCUGUGCGGCCUCUCCGGGCGACCGGAGGGCCGUUACGGGGAAGACCCUUUAUUUGACGCGGGUCGAUGAAGUAAAAGUCGUAACA